Parelaphostrongylus tenuis is the source of this 71-nucleotide non-coding RNA. Lineage: Eukaryota; Metazoa; Nematoda; Chromadorea; Rhabditida; Metastrongylidae. The record is from the annotation of a GenBank genome assembly.
GCAUUGGUAAUUCAGUGGUGGAAUGAUCGCUUGCCACUCAGACGACACCGGUUCGAUUCCCGGUCAGUGCA